This 497-nucleotide ribosomal RNA is filed under the name uncultured bacterium. Its description in RNAcentral is "partial 16S ribosomal RNA". It matches the Rfam family "Bacterial small subunit ribosomal RNA", at positions 28 to 507 of the family's 1533-position model. The record is from RNAcentral.
GAUGAACGCUGGCGGCGUGCCUAAUACAUGCAAGUCGAGCGAACAGACGAGGAGCUUGCUCCUCUGACGUUAGCGGCGGACGGGUGAGUAACACGUGGAUAACCUACCUAUAAGACUGGGAUAACUUCGGGAAACCGGAGCUAAUACCGGAUAAUAUAUUGAACCGCAUGGUUCAAUAGUGAAAGACGGUUUUGCUGUCACUUAUAGAUGGAUCCGCGCCGCAUUAGCUAGUUGGUAAGGUAACGGCUUACCAAGGCAACGAUGCGUAGCCGACCUGAGAGGGUGAUCGGCCACACUGGAACUGAGACACGGUCCAGACUCCUACGGGAGGCAGCAGUAGGGAAUCUUCCGCAAUGGGCGGAAGCCUGACCGAGCAACGCCGCGUGGGUGAUGAAGGUCUUCGGAUCGUAAAACUCUGUUAUUAGGGAAGAACAAAUGUGUAAGUAACUAUGCACGUCUUGACGGUACCUAAUCAGAAAGCCACGGCUAACUACGUG